Molecule: long non-coding RNA, 544 nt
Organism: Branchiostoma belcheri (Belcher's lancelet)
Lineage: Eukaryota; Metazoa; Chordata; Leptocardii; Amphioxiformes; Branchiostomatidae
Exons: 3
Source: RefSeq, a predicted model, not a curated record
CUCUCCGCUCAGUGCUCUCGCGAGGACGUGGUUUCACCUGGUGGUCACAGUUUGUGCUUUAAAUUUGUGCUUUUGUGAAUUUUCCUAUUAAUUGUAUCCUACGCACUCAACGAAAGGGAAUAAGAUUUACUUUUGGCGGUUAUUAGAGGUUCCUGAAGAAAGAUAUCUGACUGUUCAAACUGGUCCGAGGAAAGUCGCGUGAACGUCACGAGUUCUUUAAAGAAAAACAGACGACGUACCGGAAGUUGUCUCAACUAGAGGAGAACAAGUCUACGUGUGCGCCAUGUCAAGCCGUGGGGAGGUGCUCAGAAUGGGUCAAAAGGAAUCAUAUAGGAUCACAACGGUGUUCCUGAUCUUGCUGCAUGUAGUGAGGGGAGAGAUCUGUACAGAAAACCAGUACAGACCCUUCUCCCUGCCUUGGUGCUGCACCAGCAAGUGUGGACCAGGAACUCGCAUUACACGACCAUGUGAUGAAGAUGACGAGGACAGUACGGAGUGUGAGCCGUGUGGGGAGGGUCUGUAUAACCCGGGAAGAGAUCAGGAC